RNAcentral lists this ribosomal RNA (760 nucleotides) under uncultured bacterium. RNAcentral's name for it is "bacterial SSU rRNA". It matches the Rfam family "Bacterial small subunit ribosomal RNA", at positions 8 to 796 of the family's 1533-position model. The record is from RNAcentral.
AGAGUUUGAUCAUGGCUCAGGAUGAACGUUGGUAGCAUGCCUAACACAUGCAAGUCGAGCGGAAAGUAGCAAUAUUUUUAGCGGCGAACGGGUGAGUAAUACUUAUCUUACCUACCAUUCAGUGGGGGAUAACCAAAGGAAACUUUGGCUAAUACCGCAUAUUCUGGUUUCGAUCAGGAAAGGACUUCGGUUCGCUAAAUGAUGGGGAUAAGGCGUAUUAGUUAGUUGGUGGGGUAAAGGCCUACCAAGACGAAGAUGCGUAGCCAAACUGAGAGGUUGAAUGGCCACAGGGAAACUGAGACACGGUUCCCACUCCUACGGGAGGCAGCAGUGAGGAAUAUUCCGCAAUGGGCGAAAGCCUGACGGAGCAAUGCUACGUGAAGGAUGAAGGUCUACGGAUUGUAAACUUCUUUACUUGGAUGUACUCCUUAAAACUUGCAUCCGAGCAAAAAGUCACGACUAACUAUGUGCCAGCAGUCGCGGUAAGACAUAGGUGGCGAACGUUAUCCGGAAUUAUUGGGCGUAAAGGAUGCGUAGAUGGUAGAAUAAGUUGCUGGUCGAUGCCAAACUCAAUUUGACGGAAUCUGGCAAUACUGUUCUACUCGAGGGCAGGAGAGGUUGAUGGAAUUCUGUGUGGAGCGGUGAAAUGCGUUGAUCUACAGAGGAACACCAAAAAAGGCGAAGGCAGUCAACUAUUCUGUUCCUGACAUUGAGGCAUGAAAGCGUGGGGAGCAAACCGGAUUAGAUACCCUAGUAGUCC